GGUGUUUAACGGCUGAGGGAUAUAUAUGGCCCUAAUGUAUAAUGAUGGGGACAUAUUUGAUAAAAAAAUUCAAACGGAGGAUAAAUAUGACCUAUUUUUAAUAAUACAAUGAUAUAUCUGACUCUUAACCAUUUAGAUAAAGACAAGAUGUUAUUUAUUUUCCUCAUAAAGGAAAAAGAAAAGAACGGACAAAAUUAAAAGAUCAGUGCGUGAAAAAACCUAAACGUCGGCUAUUAGAUCGAACUCACGCGGGGAAACCCAACAAACUUAGCAGGCAUGCGCCCUAACCGCUCGGCCAAAGCGACUUCCCGUCCUCAGCAUGUUCAUUUUCCGUUUUUCAUAAUAUUCAAUGGCACACCCUUUUUUAACCAAACUCUACUUAAUCCUCUUAAAUAAAUUAAAAAAAUUAGUAAAAACUUGAAAAAGGAUUUCCAAUUAGAAAGUGACAAAAAUUAUGUUUAAAGGGAUUAACUUUAGGGUUGCCACCUAACAUUAUUUUUGGUGUGCCCGGUCACCAUUUUAAAAAAAUAAUUUUUCUUUUUAAACACUUUGGACUCUAUAACUGAGUCUGCACCAGAGAUUCGGAUAAGGGAGUUCAUUUGACUCGGAGAGAAGGUGUUAGGCAUCCCCAAGUCCCAUAAAGGUCACCGUUGCGUAUACGAUCUACUUGGCUUUCAAAAUAUUUAAUUGAGGUAAAAAACACAAAAAAAAAAAAUAAACACACAAAAAGUUUGAGGUCGUCCCCACCUAAAUAAAAGAAAAAAAUGAAAGUAAAAUAAAAUAAAAUACUACAAGUUUCUACUUUUGUCCUUCAUUUACACUCACUUCGGAGCAUACCCCUACAUAAAAUAUAUACAAAUACUUCAGAGCAUUCCCCAGAUAAAUUUAGCUAAGGGGACAACCUCUCGCUUCAAAAGCUAACAAACAAUUCUAAAGCUUGCCUACCUGAGCGAUGACGGCCUAGCAUGCUUCUAGCGGUUAAAUAAAAAAAGUACAAAUUUAAAAAUAAACUAAAGUAAAUGGAAUUCUUUUCAUGUAUUUAGACCGAGCCCAAUGCUAAACCAUGUAAUUUGAUUAAGGGUUUUGGCAUGGUAUAACAACAUACUCAUAUAAUUGCUAGAAAAUAACCCUAGUUAUAAAUAUUGACAUCAAAUAGCCAAUAAAUGUUUAUCAUAACAAUAACGUGCAUAUCACAACUU
RNAcentral lists this long non-coding RNA (1199 nucleotides) under Nicotiana benthamiana. RNAcentral's name for it is "long non-coding RNA (NBEN_LNC009949)". The record is from RNAcentral. Lineage: Eukaryota; Viridiplantae; Streptophyta; Magnoliopsida; Solanales; Solanaceae.